GACGAACGCUGGCGGCGUGCCUAACACAUGCAAGUCGAACGGAAAGGCCGGGCUUUGGUGCGGAUGGCGAGGUGAGACGGGGGGAGUUACACGUGAGUUAGCCGUACCUGACUGAGUGAGGUCCUCAGGAAACAUGAGGUAAUACCGCAAAAGAGCUAUUGCUGCUGGGUGGGCGUUGGAAAGAUUCGGCGGUUGGGGGUGGACUCGCGGCUCAUGGGCUUGUUGGGUGGGUAGUGGCUGAGCAAGGCUUGCAACGGUAGCCGACCUGGGCGGGCGGCCGGCCACAUUGCGCCUGAGCUACGGCGCAGACUCCUACGGUAGGCAGCGGUGGGGAAUAUUGCACAGUGGGCGGAAGCCUGAUGCGGCCACGCCGCGUGCGGGAUGACGUCCUUCGGGUUGUAAACCACUUUCGCCUGUGACGAAGCGUGAGUGACGGUACUGGGUAAAGAAGCACCGGCUAACUACGUG
Molecule: ribosomal RNA, 468 nt
Filed under: uncultured bacterium
Lineage: Bacteria
Description: partial 16S ribosomal RNA
Rfam family: Bacterial small subunit ribosomal RNA
Source: RNAcentral